This 448-nucleotide long non-coding RNA is filed under the name Androctonus crassicauda. The record is from RNAcentral. Lineage: Eukaryota; Metazoa; Arthropoda; Arachnida; Scorpiones; Buthidae.
UGCAGCAUAGUAACAUUCCAUUAUCUGCUUAUUUUGCUCUUGGCUCCAUUUAACUCUUUUUGAAUUAUCUUCCAGUUGCAUCACAGUUGGAUGUCCUGGUUGCCUAGUGAUACCAACUGUCCUCUGUAGCCUGCUUAUCGGCUGGUGGCCAGAGAGAUCACCACUAGACACAACCUUUGAACUUGGCAAUGGCUGAUCCAGUAUCAAUUUCAUUCUUCUUGUAUUCACCAUUAUGUUUGGGUGUGGCUAUAUUUAGUCUGGCCCUCAGCUAUGACCUGUCUGGCCUGGGUGACCCUCCUACCAAGUACAUUGGCGCCAGCAUAGCUCCCGGCAUCAUAGAAGUAUGCAAGCCCCCUUGCCCCAGCAAGGCAAUGGCACUUGAGAGGAUUAUUAUUAUUAUUAUUAUUAUUAUUAUUAUUAUUAUUAUUAUUAUUAUUAUUAUUAUUAU